RNAcentral lists this small nucleolar RNA (123 nucleotides) under Bos grunniens (domestic yak). Its description in RNAcentral is "Small Cajal body specific RNA 15 (ENSBGRG00000014476.1)". It matches the Rfam family "Small Cajal body specific RNA 15". Rfam says of the family: scaRNAs are a specific class of small nuclear RNAs which localise to the Cajal bodies and guide the modification of RNA polymerase II transcribed spliceosomal RNAs U1, U2, U4, U5 and U12. The record is from Rfam by way of RNAcentral. Lineage: Eukaryota; Metazoa; Chordata; Mammalia; Artiodactyla; Bovidae.
CUGGAGACUAACAAAAUAGAGUCCUUGAAGUCAAGCUGACUCUGCUUUUAGCCUCCUAAAUGAAAAGGUAGAUAGAACAGGUCUUGUGUGCAAAAUGAAUUCAAGUUCAUACUACAAAAACAU